CUCCUACGGGAGGCAGCAGUGGGGAAUAUUGGACAAUGGGCGCAAGCCUGAUCCAGCCAUACCGCGUGUGUGAAGAAGGCCUUCGGGUUGUAAAGCACUUUAAGCAGGGAGAAAAAGUUAUAAGCUAAUACCUUAUAACCUUGAUGUUACCUGCAGAAUAAGCACCGGCUAAUUCCGUGCCAGCAGCCGCGGUAAU
RNAcentral lists this ribosomal RNA (196 nucleotides) under uncultured bacterium. RNAcentral's name for it is "partial 16S ribosomal RNA". It matches the Rfam family "Bacterial small subunit ribosomal RNA", at positions 336 to 524 of the family's 1533-position model. The record is from RNAcentral.